Molecule: long non-coding RNA, 114 nt
Organism: Poecilia latipinna (sailfin molly)
Lineage: Eukaryota; Metazoa; Chordata; Actinopteri; Cyprinodontiformes; Poeciliidae
Exons: 3
Source: RefSeq, a predicted model, not a curated record
UAUAAUCUGACAUCAAUCUAGGCUGAGGUAGCUGUUUAGAACAAGUAAGAAAGUUUUUGACAAUUUCUGAGAAAAAUCUGUAAUAAACUCCCAAUUAUUAACACAAAAAAGUGC